Molecule: transfer RNA, 72 nt
Filed under: Candidatus Moranbacteria bacterium CG_4_10_14_3_um_filter_44_15
Lineage: Bacteria; Candidatus Moraniibacteriota
Also listed under: 4 other names
Description: tRNA-Ala
Rfam family: tRNA
About the family: Transfer RNA (tRNA) molecules are approximately 80 nucleotides in length. Their secondary structure includes four short double-helical elements and three loops (D, anti-codon, and T loops). Further hydrogen bonds mediate the characteristic L-shaped molecular structure. tRNAs have two regions of fundamental functional importance: the anti-codon, which is responsible for specific mRNA codon recognition, and the 3' end, to which the tRNAs corresponding amino acid is attached (by aminoacyl-tRNA synthetases). tRNAs cope with the degeneracy of the genetic code in two manners: having more than one tRNA (with a specific anti-codon) for a particular amino acid; and 'wobble' base-pairing, i.e. permitting non-standard base-pairing at the 3rd anti-codon position.
Source: RNAcentral
GGGCUUGUAGUUCAAUGGUAGAACGCCUGUUUUGCAUACAGGAGGUUGAGGGUUCGAUUCCCUCCAAGUCCA